AAACUACGAAAGGAAGUUGACGGGGCCCGCACAAGCGGUGGAGCAUGUGGUUUAAUUCGACGCAACGCGAAGAACCUUACCAGGGCUUGACAUCCCCUGACCGCGUAUGAAAGUACGUUUUCACCCUCGGGUGACAGGGAGACAGGUGGUGCAUGGUUGUCGUCAGCUCGUGUCGUGAGAUGUUGGGUUAAGUCCCCGCAACGAGCGCAACCCCUACGUUUAGUUGCCAUCAUUCAGUUGGGCACUCUAGCGAGACUGCCGGUAAUAAACCGGAGGAAGUGGGGAUGACGUCAAAUCAUCAUGCCCCUUAUGACCUGGGCUACACACGUGCUACAAUGGUUGGUACAACGAGUUGCGAGUCGGUGACGGCGAGCUAAUCUCUUAAAGCCAAUCUCAGUUCGGAUUGUAGGCUGCAACUCGCCUACAUGAAGUCGGAAUCGCUAGUAAUCGCGGAUCAGCACGCCGCGGUGAAUACGUUCCCGGGCCUU
Molecule: ribosomal RNA, 488 nt
Filed under: uncultured Streptococcus sp.
Lineage: Bacteria; Bacillati; Bacillota; Bacilli; Lactobacillales; Streptococcaceae
Description: bacterial SSU rRNA
Rfam family: Bacterial small subunit ribosomal RNA
Source: RNAcentral